RNAcentral lists this ribosomal RNA (253 nucleotides) under uncultured bacterium. Its description in RNAcentral is "partial 16S ribosomal RNA". It matches the Rfam family "Bacterial small subunit ribosomal RNA", at positions 524 to 776 of the family's 1533-position model. The record is from RNAcentral.
UACAGAGGUCCCAAGCGUUGUUCGGAUUCACUGGGCGUAAAGGGUGCGUAGGUGGUGAGGUAAGUCGGAUGUGAAAGCUCGGAGCUCAACUCCGAAAUGGCAUUGGAAACUACCUCGCUCGAGGGUUGGAGGGGGGACUGGAAUACUUGGUGUAGCAGUGAAAUGCGUAGAUAUCAAGUGGAACACCAGUGGCGAAGGCGAGUCCCUGGACAACUCCUGGCACUGAGGCACGAAAGCUAGGGGAGCAAACAGG